This 65-nucleotide transfer RNA is filed under the name Xenoturbella churro. Its description in RNAcentral is "tRNA-Thr". It matches the Rfam family "tRNA". From Rfam's summary of the family: Transfer RNA (tRNA) molecules are approximately 80 nucleotides in length. Their secondary structure includes four short double-helical elements and three loops (D, anti-codon, and T loops). Lineage: Eukaryota; Metazoa; Xenacoelomorpha; Xenoturbellidae. The record is from RNAcentral.
GUUCAAAUAGUUUACCAUAAAACAUUAGUCUUGUAAGCUAAAAAUAAGAACCACUCUUUUUGAGC